RNAcentral lists this ribosomal RNA (391 nucleotides) under uncultured bacterium. RNAcentral describes it as "bacterial SSU rRNA". It matches the Rfam family "Bacterial small subunit ribosomal RNA", at positions 28 to 420 of the family's 1533-position model. The record is from RNAcentral.
GACGAACGCUGGCGGCGUGCUUAACACAUGCAAGUCGAGCGGUAAGGCCCUUUCGGGGGUACACGAGCGGCGAACGAGUGAGUAACACGUGGGUGACCUGCCCUCAGCUCUGGGAUAAGCCUGGGAAACCGGGUCUAAUACUGGAUAUGACUCCAUGACGCAUGUUGUGGGGUGGAAAGCCUUGUGCGGCUGAGGAUGGGCCCGCGGCCUAUCAGCUUGUUGGUGGGGUGAUGGCCUACCAAGGCGACGACGGGUAGCCGGCCUGAGAGGGCGACCGGCCACACUGGGACUGAGACACGGCCCAGACUCCUACGGGAGGCAGCAGUGGGGAAUCUUGCGCAAUGGGCGAAAGCCUGACGCAGCGACGCCGCGUGAGGGAUGACGGCCUCGU